RNAcentral lists this ribosomal RNA (440 nucleotides) under uncultured bacterium. RNAcentral describes it as "partial 16S ribosomal RNA". It matches the Rfam family "Bacterial small subunit ribosomal RNA", at positions 338 to 795 of the family's 1533-position model. The record is from RNAcentral.
CCUACGGGUGGCAGCAGUGGGGAAUAUUGCACAAUGGGGGAAACCCUGAUGCAGCGACGCCGCGUGAGUGAAGAAGUAUUUCGGUAUGGAAAGCCCUAUCAGCAGGGAAGAAAAUGACGGUACCUGAUUAAGAAGCCCCGUCUAACUACGGGCCAGCAGCCGCGGUAAUACGGAAGGGGCAAGCGUUAUCCGGAUUUACUGGGUGUAAAGGGAGCGUAGACGGCAGCACAAGUCUGGAGUGAAAUGCCGGGGCUUAACCCCGGAACUGCUGUGGAAACUGUGCAGUUAGAGUGGAGGAGGGGUAAGUGGAAUUCGUGGUGUAGCGGUGAAAUGCGUAGAUAUUAGGAGGAACACCAGUGGCGAAGGCGGCUUACUGGAGUGUAACUGACGUUGAGGCGCGAAAGCGUGGGGAGCAAACAGGAUUAGAUACCCCGGUAGUC